CUUUCUGGGGAAUUAGAAAGGUUUUUUCUGGAGGAUAUUAGUCAGGUUGGUGAUGUUGUGCUAAUCCCCGAUGAGAGUGUGAUGGAAAAUGAGUUGAAAAUGGUUGGACUGGAAACGUUGGUAUGUUGCACUCACUUAUUUUCAAUUCCUUCCUGUUUUAUGUAAAUAGGAGGACAUGAUUCCUACCGUGGUUAUUUGGUUAUGUCCAUUCACUCACAAGAUCUUGGCUCAAUUUUGAUAGCCUCGUCAAAUUGAAAUUUCUAACACCUUAUCCUUUAAAA
This is a non-coding RNA of Camellia sinensis, 281 nucleotides long. The record is from RefSeq and is a predicted model, not a curated record. Lineage: Eukaryota; Viridiplantae; Streptophyta; Magnoliopsida; Ericales; Theaceae.